AAGUCGUAACAAGGUUUCCGUAGGUGAACCUGCGGAAGGAUCAUCAUUGAAUAAACUUGCACAGGUUGUUGCUGGCUCUCUGGGGCAUGUGCACGCCUGUCAUCUUUAUUUCUCCAACUGUGCACAUAUUGUAGACCUGGAGUUUUUGUUCUGAAAUCAUUUUCGAGUUGGGACUGCUGUGCUUCAUUCAGUUGAGGUGGGCUUUUCCUUACAUUUCUGGGUCUAUGUCAUUUCACAACCUCAUUUAGAAUGUCGAACCUAUAAAAGUUAAAUAUACAACUUUCAGCAACGGAUCUCUUGGCUCUCGCAUCGAUGAAGAACGCAGCGAAAUGCGAUAAGUAAUGUGAAUUGCAGAAUUCAGUGAAUCAUCGAACCUUUGAACGCACCUUGCGCCCCUUGGCAUUCCGAGGGGCACACCCGUUUGAGUGUCGUGAAAUCUUCAAAACCCUUUUUUCUUUGAACCAUUGUGGUCGGGAAAAGGACUUUUGGACUUGGAGGUUUAAUGCUCACCCUUUCUUUUGAAAGUGAGCUCCUCUCAAAUGAAUUAGUGGGGUCCGCUUUGCUGAUCCUUGACGUGAUAAAAUGUUUCUACGUUUUGGGUUUAGCACUGUCCCUUGGAUGCCUGCUGCUAACCGUCUCAUUGACAAUGAUGGUGCUCCGGUCACUGCCGUCUACGUCGGCGGGAGGCUGGACCCACAAAAAGAAAACCUUGACCUCAAAUCGGGUGAGACUACCCGCUGAACUUAAGCAUAUCAAUAAGCGGAGGAAAAGAAACUAACAAGGAUUCCCCUAGUAACUGCGAGUGAAGCGGGAAAAGCUCAAAUUUAAAAUCUGGUGGUCUUUGGCCAUCCGAAUUGUAAUUUAGAGAA
This 869-nucleotide unclassified non-coding RNA is filed under the name uncultured Russula. RNAcentral's name for it is "sequence contains ITS1, 5.8S rRNA gene and ITS2". The stretch from base 278 to 431 matches the Rfam family "5.8S ribosomal RNA". Lineage: Eukaryota; Fungi; Basidiomycota; Agaricomycetes; Russulales; Russulaceae. The record is from RNAcentral.